This 290-nucleotide ribosomal RNA is filed under the name uncultured bacterium. Its description in RNAcentral is "partial 16S ribosomal RNA". It matches the Rfam family "Bacterial small subunit ribosomal RNA", at positions 29 to 309 of the family's 1533-position model. The record is from RNAcentral.
AGCGAACGUUGGCGGCGCGCCUAACACAUGCAAGUCGAACGCGAAAGGACCUCGGUCCGAGUAGAGUGGCGCACGGGUGAGUAACACGUGAGUAAUCUGCCCUUUAGCCUGGGAUAACACGCCGAAAGGCGUGCUAAUACCGGAUGAGACCACGGAAUCUUCGGAGACUGUGAGAAAAGGCGGGUCCGCAAGGACCUGUCACUAGAGGAUGAGCUCGCGGCCUANCAGCUAGUUGCGGGUAAUGGCCCACCAAGGCUAAGACGGUAGCUGGUCUGAGAGGAUGAUCAGCC